AGUCCAAUUAAUUAUUAAAAAAUCAAAUUAUUAUUUGAGGAGCGUCUGUCGAAUACAUACAUAGGAUAAUGCUAAGAUUUAAAUCGAUGUACAUUAUCUGAUGCCUGUUCGGUGGCCUAAGGAACCAAACGAUGGGUCCUUCCCUUAUUGUAAGUGAUAUUAUCUAAAUAAUAGUAUCGGUAAUGGCGCAACGACUUCUCUAUUGUCUCCACUAAGUUCUCUAUGAAAUAGACUUAGCUUUGAAUAGGAAGCUUGAUAUACUGGGACGGUGAGACCCUGGGCACCUUUACUUCUCUUUAAAAAGUCUUGC
This 310-nucleotide ribosomal RNA is filed under the name Theileria orientalis. RNAcentral's name for it is "large subunit ribosomal RNA LSU1". It matches the Rfam family "Bacterial large subunit ribosomal RNA", at positions 1744 to 2125 of the family's 2925-position model. Lineage: Eukaryota; Apicomplexa; Aconoidasida; Piroplasmida; Theileriidae. The record is from RNAcentral.